Molecule: non-coding RNA, 24 nt
Filed under: Arabidopsis thaliana (thale cress)
Lineage: Eukaryota; Viridiplantae; Streptophyta; Magnoliopsida; Brassicales; Brassicaceae
Source: RNAcentral
AUGUAAUGGGUCAGGUUGUCGAUC